RNAcentral lists this ribosomal RNA (330 nucleotides) under uncultured bacterium. Its description in RNAcentral is "bacterial SSU rRNA". It matches the Rfam family "Bacterial small subunit ribosomal RNA", at positions 568 to 898 of the family's 1533-position model. The record is from RNAcentral.
CGCGUAGGCGGUUAGAUAAGUCAGAUGUGAAAGCCUUGGGCUUAACCUGAGAAUUGCAUUUGAUACUGUCUGACUAGAGAUCGAGAGAGGAAAGUGGAAUUACGAGUGUAGAGGUGAAAUUCGUAGAUAUUCGUAAGAACACCAGUGGCGAAGGCGGCUUUCUGGCUCGAUACUGACGCUAAGGCGCGAAAGCGUGGGGAGCAAACAGGAUUAGAUACCCUGGUAGUCCACGCUGUAAACGAUGAGUGCUAGAUGUCGGAUAAGUAAUUAUUCGGUAUCGCAGUUAACGCAUUAAGCACUCCGCCUGGGGAGUACGGUCGCAAGAUUAAA